CAUAAUAUGCCGAAGACAGUAGGUGCCGUAAGGCGUAACCAUGUGGCCUACCGAGGGAAUCUUUCGAUGAGUAAUCAUCAUUAAGAAUGAUUUUAGGACCUCUCUGUUUUCGGACGGAGAGGUUUUUU
RNAcentral lists this small RNA (128 nucleotides) under uncultured Roseburia sp. RNAcentral's name for it is "Ribosomal protein L10 leader". It matches the Rfam family "Ribosomal protein L10 leader", at positions 11 to 129 of the family's 138-position model. From Rfam's summary of the family: This family is a putative r-protein leader autoregulatory structure found in B. subtilis and other low-GC Gram-positive bacteria. It is located in the 5' untranslated regions of mRNAs encoding ribosomal proteins L10 and L12 (rplJ-rplL). A Rho-independent transcription terminator structure that is probably involved in regulation is included at the 3' end. The record is from RNAcentral. Lineage: Bacteria; Bacillati; Bacillota; Clostridia; Lachnospirales; Lachnospiraceae.